Molecule: ribosomal RNA, 253 nt
Filed under: uncultured bacterium
Lineage: Bacteria
Description: partial 16S ribosomal RNA
Rfam family: Bacterial small subunit ribosomal RNA
Source: RNAcentral
UACGGAGGGAGCUAGCGUUGUUCGGAAUUACUGGGCGUAAAGCGUACGUAGGCGGCUUUGUAAGUUAGAGGUGAAAGCCUGGAGCUCAACUCCAGAACUGCCUUUGAUACUGCAUGGCUUGAAUCCAGGAGAGGUGAGUGGAAUUCCGAGUGUAGAGGUGAAAUUCGUAGAUAUUCGGAAGAACACCAGUGGCGAAGGCGGCUCACUGGACUGGUAUUGACGCUGAGGUACGAAAGCGUGGGGAGCAAACAGG